Molecule: ribosomal RNA, 1634 nt
Filed under: Salmonella enterica
Lineage: Bacteria; Pseudomonadati; Pseudomonadota; Gammaproteobacteria; Enterobacterales; Enterobacteriaceae
Description: partial 23S ribosomal RNA
Rfam family: Bacterial large subunit ribosomal RNA
Source: RNAcentral
CAUGCACCGAAGCUGCGGCAGCGACGCUUAUGCGUUGUUGGGUAGGGGAGCGUUCUGUAAGCCUGCGAAGGUGGCCUGUGAGGGUUGCUGGAGGUAUCAGAAGUGCGAAUGCUGACAUAAGUAACGAUAAAGCGGGUGAAAAGCCCGCUCGCCGGAAGACCAAGGGUUCCUGUCCAACGUUAAUCGGGGCAGGGUGAGUCGACCCCUAAGGCGAGGCCGAAAGGCGUAGUCGAUGGGAAACGGGUUAAUAUUCCCGUACUUGGUGUUACUGCGAAGGGGGGACGGAGAAGGCUAUGUUGGCCGGGCGACGGUUGUCCCGGUUUAAGCGUGUAGGUGUGUGUUCCAGGUAAAUCCGGUUCACUUUAACACUGAGGCGUGACGACGAGGCACUACGGUGCUGAAGCAACAAAUGCCCUGCUUCCAGGAAAAGCCUCUAAGCAUCAGGUAACAUCAAAUCGUACCCCAAACCGACACAGGUGGUCAGGUAGAGAAUACCAAGGCGCUUGAGAGAACUCGGGUGAAGGAACUAGGCAAAAUGGUGCCGUAACUUCGGGAGAAGGCACGCUGACACGUAGGUGAAGUGAUUUACUCAUGGAGCUGAAGUCAGUCGAAGAUACCAGCUGGCUGCAACUGUUUAUUAAAAACACAGCACUGUGCAAACACGAAAGUGGACGUAUACGGUGUGACGCCUGCCCGGUGCCGGAAGGUUAAUUGAUGGGGUCAGCGCAAGCGAAGCUCCUGAUCGAAGCCCCGGUAAACGGCGGCCGUAACUAUAACGGUCCUAAGGUAGCGAAAUUCCUUGUCGGGUAAGUUCCGACCUGCACGAAUGGCGUAAUGAUGGCCAGGCUGUCUCCACCCGAGACUCAGUGAAAUUGAACUCGCUGUGAAGAUGCAGUGUACCCGCGGCAAGACGGAAAGACCCCGUGAACCUUUACUAUAGCUUGACACUGAACAUUGAGCCUUGAUGUGUAGGAUAGGUGGGAGGCUUUGAAGUGUGGACGCCAGUCUGCAUGGAGCCGACCUUGAAAUACCACCCUUUAAUGUUUGAUGUUCUAACGUGGACCCGUUACCCGGGUUGCGGACAGUGUCUGGUGGGUAGUUUGACUGGGGCGGUCUCCUCCUAAAGAGUAACGGAGGAGCACGAAGGUUGGCUAAUCCUGGUCGGACAUCAGGAGGUUAGUGCAAUGGCAUAAGCCAGCUUGACUGCGAGCGUGACGGCGCGAGCAGGUGCGAAAGCAGGUCAUAGUGAUCCGGUGGUUCUGAAUGGAAGGGCCAUCGCUCAACGGAUAAAAGGUACUCCGGGGAUAACAGGCUGAUACCGCCCAAGAGUUCAUAUCGACGGCGGUGUUUGGCACCUCGAUGUCGGCUCAUCACAUCCUGGGGCUGAAGUAGGUCCCAAGGGUAUGGCUGUUCGCCAUUUAAAGUGGUACGCGAGCUGGGUUUAGAACGUCGUGAGACAGUUCGGUCCCUAUCUGCCGUGGGCGCUGGAGAACUGAGGGGGGCUGCUCCUAGUACGAGAGGACCGGAGUGGACGCAUCACUGGUGUUCGGGUUGUCAUGCCAAUGGCACUGCCCGGUAGCUAAAUGCGGAAGAGAUAAGUGCUGAAAGCAUCUAAGCACGAAACUUGCCCCGAG